AGAGUUUGAUCCUGGCUCAGGGUGAACGCUGGCGGCGUGGAUAAGGCAUGCAAGUCGAAUGGGUUUAGACCCAUGGCAGACGAGGUAGUAACACGUAGGUACGUACCCCAAAGUCAGGCAUAACCGGUCGAAAGAUCGGAUAAUUCCUGAUGGUCCCGCAAGGGUAAAGAUUUAUCGCUUUGGGAGCGGCCUGCGUCGUAUCAGCUUGUUGGUAAGGUAAAAGCUUACCAAGGCUAUGACGCGUAGGGGAGGUGAGAGCCUGACCCCCACCGAUGGAACUGAGACACGGUCCAUACUCCUACGGGAGGCUGCAGCCGAGAAUAUUCCGCAAUGGACGAAAGUCUGACGGAGCGACGCCGCGUGAAGGAUGACGGCCUUCGGGUUGUAAACUUCUUUUAUGAGGGAGGAAAUUUUGACGUUACCUCAUGAAUAAGGGGCUCCUAAUUCCGUGCCAGCAGGAGCGGUCAUACGGAAGCCCCGAGCGUUACCCGGAAUCACUGGGCGUAAAGGGUGCGUAGGUGGUGAUAUUAGUCUUUUGUUAAAGGUCAGGGCUCAACCCUGGACAUGCGAAGGAAACGGUAUCACUAGAGGGUGAGAGAGGUGUACGGAACUCAUGGUGUAGGGGUGAAAUCCGUUGAUAUCAUGAGGAACACCAAAUGCGAAGGCAGUACACUGGCUCAUUUCUGACACUGAGGCACG
Molecule: ribosomal RNA, 699 nt
Filed under: uncultured Desulfobacterales bacterium
Lineage: Bacteria; Pseudomonadati; Thermodesulfobacteriota; Desulfobacteria; Desulfobacterales
Description: bacterial SSU rRNA
Rfam family: Bacterial small subunit ribosomal RNA
Source: RNAcentral